UAGGGAAUCUUCGGCAAUGGACGAAAGUCUGACCGAGCAACGCCGCGCGAGUGAAGAAGGUUUUCGGAUCGUAAAACUCUGUUGUUAGAGAAGAACAAGGACGUUAGUAACUGAACGUCCCCUGACGGUAUCUAACCAGAAAGCCACGGCUAACUACGUGCCAGCAGCCGCGGUAAUACGUAGGUGGCAAGCGUUGUCCGGAUUUAUUGGGCGUAAAGCGAGCGCAGGCGGUUUCUUAAGUCUGAUGUGAAAGCCCCCGGCUCAACCGGGGAGGGUCAUUGGAAACUGGGAGACUUGAGGGCAGAAGAGGGGAGUGGAAUUCCAUGUGUAGCGGUGAAAUGCGUAGAUAUAUGGAGGAACACCAGUGGCGAAGGCGGCUCUCUGGUCUGUAACUGUCGCUGAGGCUCGAAAGCGUGGGGAGCAAACAGG
RNAcentral lists this ribosomal RNA (429 nucleotides) under Gemmatimonadota bacterium. Its description in RNAcentral is "Gemmatimonadetes bacterium partial 16S ribosomal RNA". It matches the Rfam family "Bacterial small subunit ribosomal RNA", at positions 355 to 776 of the family's 1533-position model. Lineage: Bacteria; Pseudomonadati; Gemmatimonadota. The record is from RNAcentral.